GGGUGACUAGUCUAGUGGUCAGGACGUUUCGUUGUGGUCUCGUUCCACGUGAAAUCCGAAGAAACCCCGGUUCGAUUCCGGGGUCGCCCA
Non-coding RNA from Parachaetomium inaequale, 90 nucleotides. The record is from the annotation of a GenBank genome assembly. Lineage: Eukaryota; Fungi; Ascomycota; Sordariomycetes; Sordariales; Chaetomiaceae.